CGUGUAGCCGGGUCGGCAAGUCAGAUGUGAAAUCUGGAGGCUCAACCUCCAAACUGCAUUUGAAACUGUUGAUCUUGAGUAUCGGAGAGGUAAUCGGAAUUCCUAGUGUAGCGGUGAAAUGCGUAGAUAUUAGGAAGAACACCAGUGGCGAAGGCGGAUUACUGGACGACAACUGACGGUGAGGCGCGAAAGCGUGGGGAGCAAACA
RNAcentral lists this ribosomal RNA (207 nucleotides) under uncultured Oscillibacter sp. RNAcentral's name for it is "partial 16S ribosomal RNA". It matches the Rfam family "Bacterial small subunit ribosomal RNA", at positions 568 to 774 of the family's 1533-position model. The record is from RNAcentral. Lineage: Bacteria; Bacillati; Bacillota; Clostridia; Eubacteriales; Oscillospiraceae.